UUCAUGUUUAUACCUGGAAUAAUUUUUAGUUUUUUUUAGGAAUUUGACCUGAGGAGUGACUGCUUUUGGGAGUAAAAUCAUUUUCCCAUUCUAAUGAACUUGGAUAUGGUUUGCUUAUAUGAUUUUAUAUAGUCCUAAUGCAGCCAUGAAACAUGUGUAGUU
This is a long non-coding RNA of Octopus sinensis (East Asian common octopus), 162 nucleotides long. RefSeq lists it as uncharacterized. The record is from RefSeq and is a predicted model, not a curated record. Lineage: Eukaryota; Metazoa; Mollusca; Cephalopoda; Octopoda; Octopodidae. The transcript is spliced from 3 exons.